UUUAUGAGGAACGUGGGUUUAAAUUACUUGUGUGAAUUGAUUUUGAACCAAAUAUCCGAAAUUCAGGAUAUCAACACAAGGAAUUGCCAUGGGAGAGCAAUUGCUUUUAAUACAAAGUAACUGUUAAUCUAAUCAUAAUCACGAGUUCACAACUAAGUCUUCAGUUGGAACUUCUACAGAGUCAGAUACAGAUCAAAUAUAAUGAGAGAUGAGAAAUGAUAAAUGCCUUCAACAAUCAACAGGUAUUAUCUAUAUCACUGAAUAACUUGGAAGUUACAUGAAGCACAAUAUUUGGGAACGGCCAUGAAUAUUCAUCAGUAUUACCGAUACAAACAAGAUCUCUUAUGCAUCCAACUCCAAGUCAGUGAACCCAUUCAAUUACUGGGUUCCUGUUAUGCUAGCCACAAAAUUCAUAGCAUGAUUCUAAGUGAUAAUCAUGGGAAAACAUUAACAACUUAUCACCCAAGACCAAAUUAAAAAAUUGACACGUCCUCCGGUUUUUGCUAGAUUCUGAACUUCUUGCUGCAGGCUACUUGUACCUCAUAAAUCAUUAUGCAGAAACAGCUGCUUGAAUGAACUGCAACAGGUUGAACAAGAUGUUAUCCAAGGGUCAACUGAUACCUCCUCCAUGCUGUCAAUGUUGAACACAAAAUUAAUAAAUAUGACAUGAAAACUACCAUGAGCAGAAAAAUAGUUAAGGUCAGAAAUAUCCUUGCAUAAAUAACACAACUUUGAAUUUUGCAUACCUUAUUUAGGAGAUUAAAUGAUAAGAAAGCAAACUAUUCUAGAAAUGAAGUCACUUAAGGAUUCUUCCUUCAUUCUUCAUCAUGUCAAUUAUGGAUAACAAAUAGCAAGACUUCAUACUGAAUUAUAAGAAUCUCUAUGGAUAGAACCUAAAAAGAAUGAAGGAACAGAAAUUGAUCACAUUAUGACUUCAAAAGCAAAGAACAGGAAAAAGGAGCUCUCCCAAUAAUGCAAAAAUGGUAGCAUGAUAUCUUACAUACCUGCAGAUUCAAUUAAGUAGGAAGUGAUGCUGGCUCAAUUAGUUAAAGCAAAUCUCAAGCUUGACAAUUCUAGAUAGAUAAGAGAACUUUCCCAAAGAUUUUCAUUUUCUAUUUCGUUAAUGUUUUACAUAAAUGGUAAAAAUGGUUUGCUCUUGAUAAAAAUUGAUCAGUCAUCAUUGUAUCAGUAUUCAACCUCCUCAAAAUGGUUGCCUAUUAAUUUCCGGUCUCUACAGAUAUUUUCUUUCCUCGGGCUCCAAACAUGUGGAGCCAAAAAAAUAACAAACAUAGAACUGACUUGUUACAUAUCCUCCAAAUUGUAUUGCUGAACAAGGAUCUUAUCCCCCUUUUCCCAACCCAAAAAACUGGGUGAGCAUCCUUUGCCUGACUCCACGCCUUAAAACAAGCUGAAUACUCCAAAAAUACAUUACAAAAUCUGCAAAUCAAUCUCACUUUGUACACAUGUACAGAGAGCUACGAGCUGUUGACAACCUGCAUCUUUGCAGGUUUCUAAUUACAUCUCUAAGUAGCCAGCUCUUUCAAGUUUCUUUUCUUGAUGCCGUCCACUGCAGGGAAUAAACCAGAAAAUGCACAGUAUAUACAGGGUUGACUUAAUCUCUAGCACCAACCAAACCUGCUUGGGUUAUAGCCUCCAUUGCAUGCUGAACCAGGAGUAUGAGUCCCUCUACAUCUUGGAAGCUGAAAUCAAUGACCCUCUUAACAGAUAUAAUACAUUCUCUAUUUUGCACCUGUUCCAAAGCUACAUUAGCAGCUGAAUAAGUAUUCUGGGACUUCCUUGAGGCUUCCAUUGCAAAAUUU
Molecule: unclassified non-coding RNA, 1820 nt
Filed under: Hevea brasiliensis (rubber tree)
Lineage: Eukaryota; Viridiplantae; Streptophyta; Magnoliopsida; Malpighiales; Euphorbiaceae
Source: RNAcentral